This is a long non-coding RNA of Bactrocera dorsalis (oriental fruit fly), 4495 nucleotides long. RefSeq lists it as uncharacterized. The record is from RefSeq and is a predicted model, not a curated record. Lineage: Eukaryota; Metazoa; Arthropoda; Insecta; Diptera; Tephritidae. The transcript has 2 exons.
UUGUGUCGGAUAAUUAAUUUCUUUUAAUACAAGUUCCGUAUUCUUAAUAAUAAAAUUCUUUAUAAUUUCUUUUUUUUUUUCUUGUUUGUGUCGAAUAAUUAUUUUCUUUCAAUUCAAAUUCCGUAUUCUUUAUAAUAGUCUUAAAAUAUAAUAUUUUAUAAAUCUUACAUUAGGUUUUUCCAGCUUUCCAUAGGAUGUUGUGCUGCGCUCCGGGGUUGUCCCUUUUCUUUAACAGUACUGAGGUCCCUCGGCGUUUAGAAAUCCCACGUUGUGCGUUGUAGCCGCUCGUUAGCAAAGUAUUUAUUGUAUUUUUUGUUUUUCACACACUUUUUUUUUUUGUUUUUAACUCACGGAGCCUUACUUUUUUAUUUUCAGGCUUUUUUCUUUUUUUUUCACAAUCACUACCGUUCGCCACUCGCGGAGCCUUACUUUUUGGUUUUCAGGCAAUUACUACUUACGCGCGCUGUCCCUGCUCGGGCGCCAGUUAAAAAACGUUUUGUUAUGUUUAAUAAAAAAAUAUAUUUUGGGAGCUAUGCUCCUUUAUUGAAUUCCACUUAAGAACUAACAUUUACAAUUAAUUAUACUUAACUCUAGACCUAUGUUUGCCGCUGCAACGGGUACGGAGUUUGCUGACGCUGCGCUUCCCACAGGUUGCCACUACACGUGUCGCAGUCUCAGCGAUUUAGUGGUAUCAUAUUAUUUUACUUUGUAUCAUAUGAUAUUACUGCAUCAUAUGAUACUUUUGAAUGUAUGGGGUGCUAACUUAUAUAGCAGUAAGGUUUAAGUCACAACCCCGAUUUUUGAGUGAAAUUGUUGUAGCUUGUAACUGUGGAGUAGCAUGCGAUUCUAGGGCAUAGUGGUUUAAACGAUUUCUAAUCAACACUGCCGUGCCACCAUGCGCUUUUCCAUCUGGAUGAUUUGUGACAUAGACUCUAAAUCCCGGAAUAUUGAAAUUAUUUUUAUUUGUUAAAUGAGUUUCUGAUAUAAGCAUUACAUCAAUAUUCUUUUCAGACAGAAAUCUGAUAAUCUCUAAUUUAUGUUGGUUAACACCGUUAGCAUUCCAUAUACAGAUAUUUAGUAAGCUCAUAUUUUACUUAAUAAAUUUUGCAGCAUUUGAUUACAAUCUAGCAGAUUGUAUAUAGGAUGGGUCUCAUUUUUUUUUAGUUGAUUCGAAUUCGGCAACAAUUCAAUUUUAAACGUUGGCUGUGGGACUUUGUUUCUAUUAAAUAUAUUUACAACUGUUUUAAUUCCAAAACCACAUUCCUCCAAUGCUUCACUGGAGUCUACGGCGGACUCUAUACCCUUGAUUACAACAACUAGGCCCUUAGAGCUCUUCAGUUGAUACGAACAAUAAUUUUUGUUUUUAUUCGACAAAAAUUUAACGAUUUCCAUGAAACUUUUUUCAGUGUAGGACUGAAUUUUUGUUUCGUCUAUAUUGCCUUUUUUCAAAGGCACUAUAUGAAAAUUGUUAGUGCCAACAAUUUCACUUAAAUUCGCAACAAGAGUAUUACUGCUACGCUCGCGCAAAUUUAUCGGAGGUUGUUUGGCAUUAACGACUGUGGUGGUGCCCUUCGCAUCGCCGUUACACUUUUUAUUUCCAGUAGUUGUGGUUGUUGUUGGGUCGACAAAGCUGAAGUAGGCAUUUAAGGAAUGCCUACGGCCUUGCUGAUGAGGCUGCGAAGCACUCAUUAUUGUUUGUUUGAUUUUUUGUUUUUUGUUUUCACUUGUUGAUUCGUGCACUAAUUGUUUAUGUUUAUUAUUAUUAAUUUGUGUGCACUGUUUUAAAUGUUUGUUUACAAUUUAUAAAUUGUUUUUUUGUUUUGUUUUACUUUUUGAUUGGUUUUAUGAUUAAUUUUUUUUUUGUAAAGAUUGAAUUCACGGAGCGAGUUAAAUAACACGACCGUACUCUUUGAACACUCUCUUGUUUUCUUUCUGGCAAUGGAAAUCCGACUUCAUCUUUAAGAGCAUGUUUGAAUUGUUGAAUAAUUUCUUCGAUUUGCUCUGUUUUGUAUUUCAAAUCUAUUUUAUUAUUGUUGAGCGGCUCCUUUUAUAAAAAAUUCUCAGCCUAUGUUUUUGAAUUAAUUAUCAGACCAACGCAUAACACAUAAUAAGUGCGUUGGUCUGAUCUAAAAGUACACGUAUAUAGGCGGUUAUAUUUAAUUAAAAGCGUUAAUUUAUUUAUUUGAAUUAUGCACUUAUAGCUUAAUACAAUUGUCCUUAACGUAUGAUAUAACCGGAGCGUCCGCUCUGGUUGAUGCCAAAACUGAAACUGUUUGAUCGUUCGUUAGAGUCGGUUAAGCUAAUAAUCGUUCUUUGUCUCUACUUGUUCGUUCGUUGUCUCGUCUCAUUUCUGUAGAAGCAGGGUUGUUAUCUGUUACGUUCUUGUUCUGUAGCAACAGGGUUGUUAUCUGUUACAUUCUUGUCACGUCAAAGCUACGUCCACUUCUGGUCCUACGUCCGUCUGUCACUCCCACUAGUAUUACUUAUCAGCAAAUGAAUUUGUAUUUAGCCGUUUUGAAGUUAUUGGUGUUGUCAUAGAGUUGUCGUAUAGCCAUAACGACAGUAUAUUUGAAGCAAUUUCACAAUCUUAUAUUAAGGUGUACUAUCGAUUUUUUAGUACAUAUACAUUAAGCAAUCGAUACCAAGUUGCGUAAAGAUGUUGUUUGUAAUUAAGUUACAAUUAAUUGAAAAAUGAAUGAAUGAAUUGAAAAAUAUAUGAUCAGCUGCGUUUAAUCGCCAACUGUUGCUACUCCUUGAGAUGUGAAGUUGGCUGCUGCUUGCUAGCAUCACGCAGGGUGUUGCCAACAUUACAUGUAUACAUGUGAUCAUGCAUCUCUGUUGCGCUCAUUCAGCAGUGUCAUAUAAAUUAUAUACACUUGUGCUCACAUAAUUAAGUCACGCCAGUAACAGAACGAAAGUUUAUUCAAAGCAACUUCUAUGGUACAGGAAUGAAACUUAAUUUUACAAAAAAUGAAAGUAAUUUUAAUUCAGUUCAAAACAGAAUACUUAUUUUUUAUUUAACUUCUAAAAUAAUAAAAAUAUUGCGUUCAUUCGCUUAGCCCAUCCAUGUUGUUGUGCUCAUAUAAUUAAGUCACCUAAAGAAAAAUGUAGUUAUUCGAAGUAUACGACAUUUUUUUGCAGUUUUACCUUACCUAAGACUAAUACUUAGUUGGAUAACCUUUAUUACGUAGCACCUCAGUACAUCGCUUAGGCAUUGUUUGGACUAAAGUAGCACAUUGAGCGGGACUUAUUUUGUACCACUCUGCCUGUAUUAUUUCCCAUAAAGAAUCUUUGUUGCGAGGUUUUCGUGCAGCUACGGCUCUUUUUAUAAUCCCCCAUAGGUUUUCUAUGGGGUUUAGGUCCGGACUUUGAGCUGGCCAAUCCAGAAUUUUAAUAUUUCGACUACGUAUCCAAGAUUUAACGACCCGCGAGCAGUGUUUGGGGUCGUUAUCGUGCUGGAAAAUCCAAGCUAACGGUAAGUUGUCCACAUAAUCACCGUCUAAAUUGUUCUCCAGUAUUCCUUUGUACAUUUCACCUGUCAUUUUCCCGUCUAUUUUAACAAUCGGGCCAACGCCUGAUGACGUGAAGCAACCCCACACCAUCACUGAUGAACCACCAUGUUUCACGGUUUUUUUAGUGUAUUUCGGAUUGAGUUCUUGCAAAGGGGGUCGUCUUACAUAUGGUUUCCCAUCAUUACCAAAUGCAUUAAAUUUGGAUUCGUCACUCCAAACCACCAAAUUCCAAAAUUUAGAGUCCUCCCAGAGAUGGUCUUUAGCAAACGCUUUUCGCUUUUCAAUAUUUUUUUUUGAAACGUUAGGUUUUCGUCUUGCUAAACGGCCAUUCAAUGAAUUUUCUUGUAGUCGUCUUCGUACAGUUUGCGCAGAUAUUUGUACGCCGUGGUAUUCCUCUAAUUGAGCCCUAAUUUCUGUGGAGGUUAAAAAUGGGUCAGACUUACUUAGCCUUACUAAGGCCCUAUCGUCAGAACGGGUGGUCUUUCUUGGCUUUUUACGCGGUAAAUUUUCAAAAGUCUUAUUUUUUUUAUAAAAUUGAACAGCGUUAUUAAUUUUGCCUCGAGAAAAUCCUAAAACAUCUACAACUUCGGCAAUAUUUUGAUAUUUUUGAAAACAUUCCCAUAUGAUCCUUCUUUCGCUUGAAGUUGUGCUUUUAUUCUUAACUUAAUAAUAAUUAAAUAACUUAAUUUAGUAAAAAACAACAAUACUUAUGUAAAUUGUGGCGAAAAAAUUUAAAUUUACCCGUUUCAAACAGAAUGACUUAAUUAUGUGAGCACACUUUUAUUGACAAUAAAUAGAAAAUUCAUUUAAACUCUCCCAAACAAAAAUACUUGAAUGCGCUGUAAAUCGGUGGCGUUCCUAGAAUAACGGAACUUUUUGCUCGCGCAAUAUUAGGGAUGUUGCAUAAAGAAAUAUACCUUGUUUUUUUACAUGUUGUAAAAAAGUACUGAAUGACUUAAUUAUAUGAGCACAAGUGUAUGUAA